Molecule: ribosomal RNA, 434 nt
Filed under: uncultured bacterium
Lineage: Bacteria
Description: partial 16S ribosomal RNA
Rfam family: Bacterial small subunit ribosomal RNA
Source: RNAcentral
AGCGAACGCUGGCGGCAGGCCUAACACAUGCAAGUCGAACGAACCUUUCGGGGUUAGUGGCGGACGGGUGAGUAACACGUGGGAACGUGCCUUUAGGUUCGGAAUAACUCAGGGAAACUUGUGCUAAUACCGAAUGUGCCCUUCGGGGGAAAGAUUAAUCGCCUUUAGAGCGGCCCGCGUCUGAUUAGCUAGUUGGUUGAGGUAAUGGCUCACCAAGGCGACGAUCAGUAGCUGGUCUGAGAGGAUGAUCAGCCACAUUGGGACUGAGACACGGCCCAAACUCCUACGGGAGGCAGCAGUGGGGAAUCUUGCGCAAUGGGCGAAAGCCUGACGCAGCCAUGCCGCGUGAAUGGUGAAGGUCCUAGGAUUGUAAAAUUCUUUCACCGGGGACGAUAAUGACGGUACCCGGAGAAGAAGCCCCGGCUAACUUCGUG